Molecule: ribosomal RNA, 429 nt
Filed under: Verrucomicrobiota bacterium
Lineage: Bacteria; Pseudomonadati; Verrucomicrobiota
Description: Verrucomicrobia bacterium partial 16S ribosomal RNA
Rfam family: Bacterial small subunit ribosomal RNA
Source: RNAcentral
GAGGGAAUAUUCCGCAAUGGACGAAAGUCUGACGGAGCAACGCCGCGUGAGUGAAGAAGGAUUUCGGUUCGUAAAACUCUGUUGUUAGGGUAGAAAAAAUGUAUAGUAACUAUAUACAAAAGAGACGGUACCUAACCAGAAAGCCACGGCUAACUACGUGCCAGCUGCCGCGGGAAUACGUAGGUGGCAAGCGUUGUCCGGAAUUAUUGGGCGUAAAGCGCGCGCAGGUGGUUUAGAAAGUCUGAUGUGAAAGCCCACGGCUCAACCGUGGAGGGUCAUUGGAAACUAAUAAACUUGAGUGCAGGAGAGAAAAGUGGCAUUCCUAGUGUAGCGGUGACAUGCGUAGAGAUUAGGAGGAACACCGGUGGCGAAAGCGGCUUUUUGGCCUGCAACUGACACUGAGGAGCGAAAGCGUGGGGAGCAAACAGG